AGCUUUACGCAGUGGCAGUAUCAUAGCCCAUGAGGUUUUUCUAAGGUGUGAUUAUUGCUAACUGAAAACUUGUCCCAAUACCCCACCAUGACGACUUGAAAGAUAGUUGGCAUUGGUAAUUUUUGACAGUCUCUACGGAGA
Molecule: small nuclear RNA, 141 nt
Organism: Aotus nancymaae (Ma's night monkey)
Lineage: Eukaryota; Metazoa; Chordata; Mammalia; Primates; Aotidae
Gene: U4
Rfam family: U4 spliceosomal RNA
About the family: U4 small nuclear RNA (U4 snRNA) is a component of the major U2-dependent spliceosome. The structure of U4 snRNA from yeast and human has been reported.
Source: Ensembl